RNAcentral lists this ribosomal RNA (253 nucleotides) under uncultured bacterium. Its description in RNAcentral is "partial 16S ribosomal RNA". It matches the Rfam family "Bacterial small subunit ribosomal RNA", at positions 524 to 776 of the family's 1533-position model. The record is from RNAcentral.
UACGUAGGGUGCAAGCGUUGUCCGGAAUUAUUGGGCGUAAAGAGCUCGUAGGCGGUUUGUUGCGUCGGCUGUGAAAUCCCGAGGCUCAACCUCGGGUCUGCAGUCGAUACGGGCAGGCUAGAGUUCGGUAGGGGAGACUGGAAUUCCUGGUGUAGCGGUGAAAUGCGCAGAUAUCAGGAGGAACACCGGUGGCGAAGGCGGGUCUCUGGGCCGAUACUGACGCUGAGGAGCGAAAGCGUGGGGAGCGAACAGG